UGUGAGGCUUGUAUGUAGGCAAAUCCGCAUACUUUAAGGCCAGGCUGUGAUGGGGAGGGAAAAUUACAGUACCGAAGGUCAUGUGUUCCCGCUGCCAAGAAAAGCCUCUAGCCAGGUGAUGGUGCCCGUACCGCAAACCGACACAGGUAGUCGAGCAGAGUAUGCUAAGGCGCUCGGAAGAACUCUCGUUAAGGAACUCGGCAAAAUGACCCCGUAACUUCGGGAGAAGGGGUGCCUCGGUAGGGUGAGUAGCCCGAGGGGGCCGCAGUGAAAAGGCCCAAGCGACUGUUUAGCAAAAACACAGGUCUGUGCGAAGCCGUAAGGCGAAGUAUACGGGCUGACGCCUGCCCGGUGCUGGAAGGUUAAGAGGAGUGGUUAGCCGCAAGGCGAAGCUAUGAAUUGAAGCCCCAGUAAACGGCGGCCGUAACAAUAACGGUCCUAAGGUAGCGAAAUUCCUUGUCAGGUAAAUUCUGACCCGCACGAAUGGCGUAACGUCUUGGGCGCUGUCUCAACGAGAGAUCCGGUGAAAUUUUAAUACCUGUGAAGAUGCAGGUUACCCGCGACAAGACGGAAAGACCCCAUGGAGCUUUACUGCAGCUUGAUAUUGAACUUUGGUACGAUCUGUACAGGGUAGGUGGGAGCCUUAGAAACCGGAGCGCCAGCUUCGGUGGAGGCAACGUUGGGAUACCACCCUGAUCGUAUCGGAGUUCUAACCUGGUACCGUAAUCCGGUACAGGGACCGUGUCAGGUGGGCAGUUUGACUGGGGCGGUCGCCUCCUAAAAUUAACGGAGGCGCCCAAAGGUUCCCUCAGAAUGGUUGGAAAUCAUUCGUAGCGUGUAAAGGCAUAAGGGAGCUUGACUGCGAGACCUACAAGUCGAGCAGGGACGAAAGUCGGGCUUAGUGAUCCGGUGGUACCGAAUGGAAGGGCCAUCGCUCAACGGAUAAAAGCUACCCUGGGGAUAACAGGCUUAUCUCCCCCAAGAGUCCACAUCGACGGGGAGGUUUGGCACCUCGAUGUCGGCUCAUCGCAUCCUGGGGCUGAAGUAGGUCCCAAGGGUUGGGCUGUUCGCCCAUUAAAGCGGUACGCGAGCUGGGUUCAGAACGUCGUGAGACAGUUCGGUCCCUAUCUGUCGUGGGCGUAGGAAAUUUGAGAAGAGCUGUCCUUAGUACGAGAGGACCGGGAUGGACGCACCGCUGGUGUGCCAGUUGUUCCGCCAGGAGCACCGCUGGGUAGCCAAGUGCGGACGGGAUAAGCGCUGAAAGCAUCUAAGCGUGAAGCCCCCUUCAAGAUGAGAUUUCCCAGUAUGUAAGACCCCUGAAAGACGAUCAGGUUGAUAGGUUCGAGGUGGAAGUGCAGCAAUGCAUGCAGCUGACGAAUACUAAUCGGUCGAGGGCUUAUCCG
This 1403-nucleotide ribosomal RNA is filed under the name metagenome. Its description in RNAcentral is "bacterial LSU rRNA". It matches the Rfam family "Bacterial large subunit ribosomal RNA", at positions 1518 to 2925 of the family's 2925-position model. The record is from RNAcentral.